RNAcentral lists this transfer RNA (84 nucleotides) under Escherichia coli BW2952. RNAcentral's name for it is "tRNA-Glu (TTC) (tRNA-Glu-TTC-2-1)". The stretch from base 9 to 80 matches the Rfam family "tRNA". Rfam says of the family: Transfer RNA (tRNA) molecules are approximately 80 nucleotides in length. Lineage: Bacteria; Pseudomonadati; Pseudomonadota; Gammaproteobacteria; Enterobacterales; Enterobacteriaceae. The record is from RNAcentral.
CGUUCCCCGUUUCCGUUCUAGAGGCCCACGGACACCGCCCUUUCACGGCGGUAACAGGGGUUCGAAUCCCCUAGGGGACGGCCA